Long non-coding RNA from Syngnathus acus (greater pipefish), 1569 nucleotides. RefSeq lists it as uncharacterized. The transcript is spliced from 3 exons. The record is from RefSeq and is a predicted model, not a curated record. NCBI's taxonomy places the organism in Eukaryota, Metazoa, Chordata, Actinopteri, Syngnathiformes, Syngnathidae.
UGACUUGUAACAUUUUCUUUACUGUCAUACUUGGGUUCUUUGUUGUCCCCUCGGUGUAGGGCGACGUUGGAGCGAGCCGGUCCCGAAUGUCCAAUUUUGCAAUAUGACUUGCAACAUUUUGUCAUUUUCUAACCUACCACUGUCAUACUUGCGUCAUUUGUUCACCCCUUGGUGUAGGGCGGCGUUGGAGCGAGCCGGUCCACGAGGAACCACCGGUCGAGGUUGCUCAAGACAUAAUGACGCGAGCAGCGCACAACUCAUUGCAUGUUCUGCCUUUUGCAGACUGGACGCAAAAGGGGGGGGACGCCCGACCCGGCGACCGUAACCAAGAGUAGCUAGACGCUGUGAUCAAAUGGCGACCGGGACGCGACACGAUCCGAUCAGAAGUGGACGGACUGCUGUGGCAUCACUCUGAAGAAUCCUGCAGCCGGCCGGGUUCUGAGGGAGACCCGCUUCCCUGGAGGCGAUGACCUGCGUAGCUUCAAUGCGUGAAAUUGAGUUUUUAUUUAAUUUUUUUAAUUCACACCAGUGGUGUCCAAACGUCUGAGGGCCGCAUACUGAAACAAAUUCCCAAUUGUUUGACACAAAUUCAUUAAACACACGAAUCAAUCAUGACAUUUUGCUCUUAAUAUUUUGUGCUACUGCUACAAAACGGUAUUCAUUUUGAAGGUCAUUCAUGUGGUGUCUUGAUAAACCUGACCUUGACACAGCAAAAAUGAGGAUAAACUACUGUAUGUCUGCGUCUGAGUGAAAUUUUGAACAGAUGAUUUGACUUUUAAAAAGCAUAUCUUAAUAUUUGAUGAUGCCGUUGAUCAGUCGUAUUUUGGCGCUCACCUAGUGGCCCGUGUCCAAUGGGCUUUUGUGGCAAAUAGCCCCUAGGCUGCCGUUUGGACACCAAUGGUGACGUGUGUGUAGGGCUGCACGUGUAUUGGAAAACUGCCAUAUGGUGGUAUGUUAUUGACAUGCACUUUAAGAAAGAAAAUUUGUUUUUUAAUGUGGCCUAAUGAAACGAGCUCUGUUUUCUUGCCUUAGUACUUGUAAUUAUUUUAGAAGAUGACAAGUCAUUGACGCAAGUUAAUGUUAACAUCUAACUGAUCUCCUUCAGAUCAAAUAGUUCAUUUCCAUCCCAAGUUUUGGCAUGACUUUGCUCAAUGCAAUGGUCUGGCCCAAUACUGCCAUAUCACUCAUUUUCCAAUAUGUUGUGCAGCCUUGAUUGAGGGCAAACGCGCAGCGACGGCAAGCGACCGUGCAAGCGAGACUUUUGUGCUUGUGUCUUGCAAGGUGGAAGCGAAGCUGCACAAAACGAAGAGCAGGCAGACGGAGGCCAUGAGCCCCGGGAUUGGCGAGCGGGGCGAGCGCAAAGGAAGAAAUCACCCCAAGAAAAGCAGUCGCCAUGUGAUGAAGAGGAAGGAGCCUGAUGCAUGACUGGCCAGAGGGCUCGCUCACGUGGCGUCGGAGGGACGGGAGCAGUUCCUCAAAUGAAGAUGAGUACCAUCUGCCGGUCACUGAGUACGUCGACAGAAGUGAACCGCAUGCCGUCUUUUUGCAGUUGUGCGAGGCAGAGGAAGA